RNAcentral lists this ribosomal RNA (253 nucleotides) under uncultured bacterium. RNAcentral's name for it is "partial 16S ribosomal RNA". It matches the Rfam family "Bacterial small subunit ribosomal RNA", at positions 524 to 776 of the family's 1533-position model. The record is from RNAcentral.
UACGUAGGAGACGAGCGUUGUCCGGAAUUACUGGGCGUAAAGCGCGUGUAGGCGGAUGAGCAGGUCUGCUGUGAAAGCUCCUGGCUUAACCGGGAGUGGUCGGUGGAAACUGCUCGUCUGGAGGACGGUAGAGGUAGGUAGAAUUCCCGGUGUAGUGGUGAAAUGCGUAGAGAUCGGGAGGAAUACCUGUGGCGAAGGCGGCCUACUGGGCCGGACCUGACGCUGAGACGCGAAGGCGUGGGGAGCGAACGGG